Molecule: ribosomal RNA, 497 nt
Filed under: uncultured bacterium
Lineage: Bacteria
Description: partial 16S ribosomal RNA
Rfam family: Bacterial small subunit ribosomal RNA
Source: RNAcentral
GACGAACGCUGGCGGCGUGCCUAAUACAUGCAAGUCGAGCGAACGAACGAGAAGCUUGCUUUUCUGAUGUUAGCGGCGGACGGGUGAGUAACACGUGGAUAACCUACCUAUAAGACUGGGAUAACUUCGGGAAACCGGAGCUAAUACCGGAUAAUAUUUUGAACCGCAUGGUUCAAAAGUGAAAGACGGUCUUGCUGUCACUUAUAGAUGGAUCCGCGCUGCAUUAGCUAGUUGGUAAGGUAACGGCUUACCAAGGCAACGAUGCAUAGCCGACCUGAGAGGGUGAUCGGCCACACUGGAACUGAGACACGGUCCAGACUCCUACGGGAGGCAGCAGUAGGGAAUCUUCCGCAAUGGGCGAAAGCCUGACGGAGCAACGCCGCGUGAGUGAUGAAGGUCUUCGGAUCGUAAAACUCUGUUAUUAGGGAAGAACAUAUGUGUAAGUAACUGUGCACAUCUUGACGGUACCUAAUCAGAAAGCCACGGCUAACUACGUG